CCCAGACGCCAGCCUCGCGGUCUUCGCCGCAGCUGCCGCCGGUGCCUCUGCUGCUGCCGAGUUCUGCGAGUAGAACGGCUGAGGCGGGCCGGGGCGGGGCCGGAGUUCCGGCCACUUUGCAGAAUGGAGAUAAUCAGGAGCAAUUUUAAAAGUAAUCUUCACAAAGUGUACCAGGCCAUAGAAGAGGCGGACUUCUUCGCCAUCGAUGGGGAAUUUUCAGGAAUCAGUGAUGGACCUUCAGUCACCGCAUUAACAAAUGGUUUUGACACCCCAGAAGAAAGGUAUCAGAAACUUAAAAAGCAUUCCAUGGACUUCUUGCUAUUUCAAUUUGGCCUUUGCACUUUUAAGUAUGACUACGGAGAUUCAAAAUAUAUAACGAAGUCAUUUAACUUUUAUGUUUUCCCGAAACCCUUCAAUAGAUCCUCACCAGAUGUCAAAUUUGUUUGUCAGAGCUCAAGCAUUGACUUUCUAGCAAGCCAAGGAUUUGAUUUUAAUAAAGUUUUUCGCAAUGGAAUUCCUUAUUUAAAUCAGGAAGAAGAAAGACAGUUAAGAGAACAGUAUGAUGAAAAACGUUUACAAACCAACGGUGCAGGAUCUCUGUCUUAUGUAUCUCCUAACACUUCAAAAUGUCCUGUGACAAUUCCUGAGGAUCAAAAGAAGUUUAUUGACCGAGUAGUAGAGAAAAUAGAAGAUUUAUUACAAAGUGAAGAAAACAAGAACUUGGAUUUAGAGCCAUGUACUGGGUUCCAAAGAAAGCUAAUUUAUCAGACUUUGAGCUGGAAGUAUCCCAAAGGCAUUCAUGUUGAGACUUUAGAAACUGAAAAGAAAGAGCGGUAUAUAGUUGUAAGUAAAGUAGAUGAAGAAGAGCGCAAAAGAAGAGAGCAGCAGAAACAUGCUAAAGAGCAGGAGGAACUGAACGAUGCUGUGGGAUUUUCUAGAGUAAUUCAUGCCAUUGCUAAUUCGGGAAAGCUUGUUAUUGGACACAACAUGCUCUUGGAUGUCAUGCACACAGUUCACCAGUUCUACUGCCCACUGCCUGCGGAUUUAAAUGAGUUUAAGGAGAUGACAACAUGUGUCUUUCCCAGACUUUUGGAUACUAAAUUGAUGGCCAGCACACAACCUUUUAAGGAUAUCAUUAACAAUACAUCUCUUGCGGAAUUGGAAAAGCGGUUAAAAGAGACUCCUUUCAGUCCUCCUAAAGUUGAAAGUGCAGAAGGUUUUCCAAGUUAUGACACAGCUUCUGAACAGCUCCACGAGGCAGGAUAUGAUGCUUAUAUCACAGGACUGUGUUUCAUCUCCAUGGCAAACUACCUAGGUUCUUUUCUCAGUCCUCCAAAAAUUCACGUAUCUGCCAGAUCAAAACUCAUUGAACCUUUUUUUAACAAGUUAUUUCUUAUGAGGGUCAUGGAUAUCCCCUAUCUAAAUUUGGAAGGACCAGACUUACAACCUAAACGAGAUCAUGUUCUCCAUGUGACAUUCCCCAAAGAAUGGAAAACCAGCGACCUUUACCAGCUUUUCAGUGCCUUUGGUAACAUUCAGAUAUCCUGGAUUGAUGACAGGUCAGCAUUUGUUUCCCUGAGCCAGCCUGAGCAAGUACAGAUUGCUGUCAAUACCAGCAGAUAUGCAGAAAGCUAUCGGAUCCAGACCUAUGCUGAAUAUGUGGGAAAAAAACUUGAGGAGAAGCAGAUCAAGAGAAAGUGGACAGAAGAUAGUUGGAAGGAGGUUGAGAGCAAGCGAUUAAAUACUCAGUGCAUAUCCUAUGCAGUGCAGAAUCACUAUUACCGCUCCAAUAGUUUUACAGGCACUGGCACAGGAGGAAAGAGAAAUCUGAGUCCCAGUCAAGCAGAAGCUGUAUUGGAGGACAGAGAGUCAGAGGAAAUUUCAGACACCGAGCUUGAGAAGACAGAUUCCUGUGCAGAAUCCCUCUCAGAAGGGAGGAAAAAGGCCAAGAAAUUAAAAAGAAUGAAGAAAGAGUUUUCUCCAGCAGCUUGCGAGGACCUGAGGCCCUCAAUCCAGCAGCCUCACGAGUGAGCUUGGAAGUGGAUCAUCCCUUAGUCGAGCCCUCAGAGGCCUGCAGCCCUGGCUGGUAUCCUCACUACGACUCACGAGAGACCUGAGCCCGAGGACCCACAGGAGCGACUCACCAAUACUGCAAGGGUUCUGUUACUAAAGAGGCAGGAGAAGGUGGAGACUGGAAAGCCACCAACAGUCACAGCCACCUGUGCCUACCCGUCAGGGCUGCUGCGAGGAUUAAGUGAGGUAAGGCUGGACAGUGCCCGCCUGCCCAAUCUGCCAACACCCAGGAGGUGCCUACGGAGAGGUGGUUGUUCAGUGAAGCUUCCGCUGUCCUGUACCUACUUUCCAGGCUUUUCAUCUGGUGCUUCUAGGAGACACCACUGUGUGGUUUCCUCUGGCUUCCUCUCCCCUUUUACAGGUUAAGCCCCCCACAAAUCUGCCCAUUUGAAUGACUGCACCUGUAAAACUGAGGAUACCCAAGCCCAGCUGGGCUCACAAAAUAGUAAGACUUCAGAAGGAAAGGGGCUUGGCACCCCUCAAAUCCAGUCUCCUCAUUUACAGAUGUGAACCCGAAACUGGCUCAAGGUCACACAGCCUCUUACGGCAGAGGUGGGACCUGAACCCACUACUCUCAGGAGAGAAGCUGGCUCUCAGCUCUGCCCUCUUUCCACACUGCUAAGGCAGAGCCCAGUUUGGGAGCAUUGAUGGAAUUUCCAAUUAAAGAAAAACAAUCACGUUCAACCCAAUUUUCUCUCACGGAGAGGAGUCAAGUUCAGGUGUAUGGGACAUGAGGUGCUUUUUGAUUAAAGGAAGAUUGCAUUUUCUUCUGGUUUUCUUUUAGGAUUUUUGAGUCCUUUCUCUUGCCUCUCUGGCUUGAC
Molecule: RNA transcript, 2894 nt
Organism: Choloepus didactylus (southern two-toed sloth)
Lineage: Eukaryota; Metazoa; Chordata; Mammalia; Pilosa; Megalonychidae
Gene: PARN
Gene name: poly(A)-specific ribonuclease
Exons: 25
Source: RefSeq, a predicted model, not a curated record